Molecule: ribosomal RNA, 253 nt
Filed under: uncultured bacterium
Lineage: Bacteria
Description: partial 16S ribosomal RNA
Rfam family: Bacterial small subunit ribosomal RNA
Source: RNAcentral
GACGAACCGUGCGAACGUUAUUCGGAAUCACUGGGCUUAAAGGGCGCGUAGGCGGGUCAUCAAGUCCGGGGUGAAAUCCCACGGCCCAACCGUGGAAGUGCCUUGGAUACUGGAGACCUCGAGGGGGAUAGGGGCGUGCGGAACUCAGGGUGGAGCGGUGAAAUGCGUAGAUAUCCUGAGGAACACCGGUGGCGAAAGCGGCGCGCUGGAUCCCUUCUGACGCUGAGGCGCGAAAGCCAGGGGAGCAAACGGG